This 440-nucleotide ribosomal RNA is filed under the name uncultured bacterium. Its description in RNAcentral is "partial 16S ribosomal RNA". It matches the Rfam family "Bacterial small subunit ribosomal RNA", at positions 338 to 795 of the family's 1533-position model. The record is from RNAcentral.
CCUACGGGAGGCAGCAGUAGGGAAUAUUGCUCAAUGGGGGAAACCCUGAAGCAGCAACGCCGCGUGAAGGAUGAAGGUUUUCGGAUUGUAAACUCCUUUUGUUAGAGAAGAUAAUGACGGUAUCUAACGAAUAAGCACCGGCUAACUCCGUGCCAGCAGCCGCGGUAAUACGGAGGGUGCAAGCGUUACUCGGAAUCACUGGGCGUAACGAGCGCGUAGGGGGGAUAGCAAGUCAGAUGUGAAAUCCUAUGGCUUAACCAUAGAACUGCAUUUGAAACUGUUAUUCUAGAGUAUGGGAGAGGUAGGUAGAAUUCUUGGUGUAGGGGUAAAAUCCGUAGAGAUCAAGAGGAAUACUCAUUGCGAAGGCGACCUGCUAGAACAUAACUGACGCUGAUGCGCGAAAGCGUGGGGAGCAAACAGGAUUAGAUACCCUAGUAGUC